UUUUCAGCCGCCGCGGUAAAACGUAGGAGGCGAACGUUAUCCGGAUUUACUGGGUGUAAAGCGCGUGCAGGCGGUUCUGUAAGUCGUGUGUGAAAGCGCUCAGGCUCAACCGGGCGAGGACAUGCGACACUGCAGGACUGGAGGGAGGUAGAGGCGUGUGGAAUUCCGGGUGUAGUGGUGAAAUGCGUAGAGAUCCGGAGGAACACCAGUGGCGAAGGCGACACGCUGGGCCUUUUCUGACGCUAAGACGCGAAAGCAUGGGGAGCGAACGGGAUUAGAUACCCGCGUAGUCC
RNAcentral lists this ribosomal RNA (293 nucleotides) under uncultured bacterium. Its description in RNAcentral is "partial 16S ribosomal RNA". It matches the Rfam family "Bacterial small subunit ribosomal RNA", at positions 505 to 796 of the family's 1533-position model. The record is from RNAcentral.